Molecule: long non-coding RNA, 406 nt
Organism: Gossypium arboreum
Lineage: Eukaryota; Viridiplantae; Streptophyta; Magnoliopsida; Malvales; Malvaceae
Exons: 2
Source: RefSeq, a predicted model, not a curated record
GAAAGACAAAAGAAACAAAGAAGAAACAGAACAGAAGCAUUUCGAAACAGGGAAAGAAAAAGAAAGAAAGAAAAGGGAAAGGAAAAACUAGGGUUUUAAGGUUUGAAGCUUUAAAAGCCAACAAAGAACCUGAAGCAUCAGCAUCGAAAGGAAAUGAGAAAGUCAUCGAGGACUAAAACGGGAGAAUUACGGUGUGUAUUACUAUAAUUCAAAUUUUAAUUAUUAUUGAUUGCUGAAAUUUUAAUUGUUAUGUAUGGUAAGUAAGACUUGAGGUAAGUAUGUGAUUAUUUGAAAAGUGUAUUGAUUGAAAAAUAAAUAAAUGGUGACAAUUGUAUGGUGUUGAUGGUAUACACUUGUGUGAAAAUUAAUUUGUAUAUGAAUUAAGAUAAUAGAUAUUUGAAUUGAA